CAUUGCUUUGGUGUCACAUGCCAAGAGAGAGAGAUAUACUGAAGCUUUGCUAUGUAGCUUAUUGGCCAACAUAUAUUGAUAAAGUGAACUCAAGUGGUCAGUGAGUCUUCUCUGGGAAUAUAU
Long non-coding RNA from Haliotis rubra (blacklip abalone), 123 nucleotides. RefSeq lists it as uncharacterized. The record is from RefSeq and is a predicted model, not a curated record. The transcript has 4 exons. Lineage: Eukaryota; Metazoa; Mollusca; Gastropoda; Lepetellida; Haliotidae.